RNAcentral lists this ribosomal RNA (439 nucleotides) under uncultured bacterium. RNAcentral's name for it is "partial 16S ribosomal RNA". It matches the Rfam family "Bacterial small subunit ribosomal RNA", at positions 338 to 795 of the family's 1533-position model. The record is from RNAcentral.
CCUACGGGAGGCAGCAGUGGGGAAUAUUGCACAAUGGGGGAAACCCUGAUGCAGCGACGCCGCGUGAAGGAUGAAGUAUUUCGGUAUGUAAACUUCUAUCAGCAGGGAAGAAAAUGACGGUACCUGACUAAGAAGCCCCGGCUAACUACGUGCCAGCAGCCGCGGUAAUACGUAGGGGGCAAGCGUUAUCCGGAUUUACUGGGUGUAAAGGGAGCGUAGACGGCAUGGCAAGUCUGAUGUGAAAGCCCGGGGCUCAACCCCGGCGAGCCGUUGAAACUGGCUGUCUUGAGAUGUCGAGAGGUAUGCGGAAUGCGCAGUGUAGCGGUGAAAUGCUUAGAUAUUGCGCAGAACUCCGAUUGCGAAGGCAGCAUACCGGCGGCGAUCUGACGCUGAGGCACGAAAGCGUGGGUAUCGAACAGGAUUAGAUACCCUUGUAGUC